CCUGUAAUCCCAGCACUUUGGCAGGUCGAGGCUGGCGGAUCACCUAAGGUCAGGAGUUCGAGACCAGGCUGGCCAACAUGGCGAAACUGUCUCUACUAAAAAUACAGAAAUUAGCCAGGAGUGAUGGCACACACCUGUAAUCCCAGCUACUUGGAAAGCUGAGGCAGGAGAAUCGUUUGAAGCGGGGAAAGCGAGGUUGCAGUCAGCUGAGAUCACACCACUGCACUUCAGCCAGCCUGGGUGACAGAGCGACACUCUGUUUCAAAAAUAAACGAAUAAAUAAAAUGGAAUUCUG
This 295-nucleotide long non-coding RNA is filed under the name Homo sapiens (human). Its description in RNAcentral is "LHRI_LNC938.1". Lineage: Eukaryota; Metazoa; Chordata; Mammalia; Primates; Hominidae. The record is from RNAcentral.